UUAUUCAACAGAUGGAGAGUAUUGGGUGUAUCCUUCGGCAGUUGACAAUAAACGUGUUAAAGUUUAUUGUCAUGGAAUGUCCACUACAACGCCAACGGAAUUCCUCACACUGGUGUAUGAGAAUAAGGCAUUUUAUGCGUUUAAGCAACAGAAAAAUGGUGUUUCUCGUUGCAGCACAGUAGUAACAAAAACGUGGCCAGCGUCGGGCACUACCACAUAUCAAAAAGUCAGAAUUAACACCAAAAAUAUGGAAGUCAUAGAUAAUGAUUUUACUUUCACAUCCACGACUAAUGUCAACAAUAAGUUUGUUAAAUAUGGCUAUGCCGUAUCGUGCAGUUUAUACCACUCAUGUGAACCACUUGGAACUAUGAAACUUGACAUCACUAAUACUGGACUGAUUUUCAAUAAUGAGACCACGUGGGAAGCUUACGGCUGGGCGGGAAAAAUUGGUCACGUUACUUUUGAAAGCAACACAUUGAUCGAUGGUCUGUGUGAUGGGUACGCUGGUGGAUGUAGACCAACCACCCCUCUAAAUUUCAAAAUAGACCAGUCUUAUACACCUCCCAUGAGUUCUGCCACGGUAGUCAACUGUAUCGCCUAGAUGUCUAUCAGAGAUGAAGAAUGUGCGAUAAAAGGCAAAGGGCACUUUUAUUUUCACCGAAAAAUGCAAAAGAAGUUCCAUUGUAAUUGACCAAAGUUAGUGGUGUAUGCAAUUAAAAUUAUUAUUAUAGCGCGUAUACAAAUACGUGAACUUAUUGAACUAUCCAAUUGGCCUUAUUUUUUUGCGGGGCUUUAUUUUAUUUUGUGGUGCAUUAUGGGGAUUUUAAAGUCCAAUUGUAUGGAGUGAUUCUGAUUGGUUCAGCGAAUAUACUAUUGACCUAUCC
Patella vulgata (common limpet) is the source of this 884-nucleotide long non-coding RNA. RefSeq lists it as uncharacterized. NCBI's taxonomy places the organism in Eukaryota, Metazoa, Mollusca, Gastropoda, Patellidae. The transcript has 4 exons. The record is from RefSeq and is a predicted model, not a curated record.